RNAcentral lists this ribosomal RNA (904 nucleotides) under uncultured archaeon. RNAcentral describes it as "bacterial SSU rRNA". It matches the Rfam family "Archaeal small subunit ribosomal RNA", at positions 27 to 907 of the family's 1478-position model. The record is from RNAcentral.
CUGCUCUCAGAGCGGGGUUAAGCCAUGCGAGUCGAACGUCUCCAAACCACGUUGGAGGCGUGGCGUACGGCUCAGUAACACGUAGUCAACCUACCCUGGAGAUGUGGAUAACCCCGGGAAACUGGGAUUAAUACACGAUGGGUAAAAUCUUCUGGAAUGGGUUUUUACUAAAAUAAAUGGGCAAGCAUGUUUGUUCGUUUGCUCCAGGAUGGGACUGCGGCCGAUCAGGUUGUUGGUGAGGCAAUGGCUCACCAAGCCUAUAACCGGUACGGGCUUUGAGAGAAGGAGCCCGGAGAUGGACACUGAGAUAAGGGUCCAGGCCCUACGGGGCGCAGCAGGCGCGAGAACUUCGCAAUGUGCGAAAGCAUGACGAGGCUACUCUGAGUGUCAUCCGCUGAGGAUGGCUUUUGCUAGGUCUAAAAAGCCUAGAGAAUAAGGGGAGGGCAAGUCUGGUGUCAGCCGCCGCGGUAAUACCAGCUCCUCGAGUGGUUGGGGUGUUUAUUGGGCCUAAAGCAUCCGUAGCCGGUUCUGCAGGUCUUUCGUUAAAUUCAACGGCUCAACCGUUGAGCUGCGGAGGAUACCACAGGACUAGGAGGCGGGAGAGGCAGAUGGUACUCCAAGGGUAGGGGUAAAAUCCACUGAUCCAUGGAAGACCACCAGUGGCGAAGGCGGUCUGCCAGAACGCGCUCGACGGUGAGGGGUGAAAGCUGGGGGAGCGAACCGGAUUAGAUACCCGGGUAGUCCCAGCUGUAAACGAUGCAAGCUAGGUGACAGAGUGGCUACGUGCCAUUCUGGUGCCGCAGGGAAGCCGUUAAGCUUGCCGCCUGGGGAGUACGGUCGCAAGACUGAAACUUAAAGGAAUUGGCGGGGGAGCACCACAAGGGGUGAAGCCUGCGGGUUCAAU